GUUGACCUCGGAUCAGGUAGGAAUACCCGCUGAACUUAAGCAUAUCAAUAAGCGGG
This 56-nucleotide ribosomal RNA is filed under the name Trichoderma citrinoviride. RNAcentral's name for it is "partial 28S ribosomal RNA". The record is from RNAcentral. Lineage: Eukaryota; Fungi; Ascomycota; Sordariomycetes; Hypocreales; Hypocreaceae.